Long non-coding RNA from Hemiscyllium ocellatum (epaulette shark), 592 nucleotides. RefSeq lists it as uncharacterized. The record is from RefSeq and is a predicted model, not a curated record. The transcript is spliced from 4 exons. NCBI's taxonomy places the organism in Eukaryota, Metazoa, Chordata, Chondrichthyes, Orectolobiformes, Hemiscylliidae.
CUGGGAAUAUUCGGUGGCGAUUGCAGUUGACCGUGGAUGUCCUUUAGAUAGUGGUCACACAUUUCUUGAGGGAGUGUUCAGACAAGUGACAAGCUAUAAUCUGCUGGGCAAACCCAAACAAAAAGGGAGAAUUGUAAAACAAAAAUUAUUCAGUUAUUUCUUCACAUAAAGGGUAGUGAAGAUGUGGAACACCCCUUUCCAUGUUGAGGUUGGAAGACAACUGGAAGUUUCAAACCUGAAAUCCAUGGAACAUUGGAGCCGAGAAUGUUAAGUGUACAACACAAAGGUAUUUAUUGGAAGUGUCCAACACAAGCAUUUUUUGCAUGGGAUCCUGUAACAGACUUGCAAUGGAUUUGUUGAUUCAUCUGCCUGGUUGAUCUGCUGUGAAAUGGAAUGGAGUCCCAAGCUCAUUCUUCGGUCUCUGCUGAAAUCACUUGGAAUAAAAUUAGUGAUCCCAGACAUUUAAGUUAGCAAGGUUGACAGCUUUAACUCAGGAUGCAUUUGUUUUUCCAUAACCUGUUGUGCGAGGACUGAAAUAAAUCUGUGCAGAGGGAGAAGUGGAUUAAAUCAGAACAAUUUAAUGCAGCAGUGA